RNAcentral lists this ribosomal RNA (802 nucleotides) under uncultured bacterium. RNAcentral describes it as "bacterial SSU rRNA". It matches the Rfam family "Bacterial small subunit ribosomal RNA", at positions 1 to 811 of the family's 1533-position model. The record is from RNAcentral.
GAAUUCGCCCUUAGAGUUUGAUCCUGGCUCAGGACGAACGCUGGCGGCGCGCCUAACACAUGCAAGUCGAACGAGCGAGAGAGAGCUUGCUUUCUCAAGCGAGUGGCGAACGGGUGAGUAACGCGUGAGGAACCUGCCUCAAAGAGGGGGACAACAGUUGGAAACGACUGCUAAUACCGCAUAAGCCCACGACCCGGCAUCGGGUAGAGGGAAAAGGAGCAAUCCGCUUUGAGAUGGCCUCGCGUCCGAUUAGCUAGUUGGUGAGGUAACGGCCCACCAAGGCGACGAUCGGUAGCCGGACUGAGAGGUUGAACGGCCACAUUGGGACUGAGACACGGCCCAGACUCCUACGGGAGGCAGCAGUGGGGAAUAUUGCACAAUGGGGGAAACCCUGAUGCAGCGACGCCGCGUGGAGGAAGAAGGUCUUCGGAUUGUAAACUCCUGUUGUUGAGGAAGAUAAUGACGGUACUCAACAAGGAAGUGACGGCUAACUACGUGCCAGCAGCCGCGGUAAAACGUAGGUCACAAGCGUUGUCCGGAAUUACUGGGUGUAAAGGGAGCGCAGGCGGGAAGACAAGUUGGAAGUGAAAUCCAUGGGCUCAACCCAUGAACUGCUUUCAAAACUGUUUUUCUUGAGUAGUGCAGAGGUAGGCGGAAUUCCCGGUGUAGCGGUGGAAUGCGUAGAUAUCGGGAGGAACACCAGUGGCGAGGGCGGCCUACUGGGCACCAACUGACGCUGAGGCUCGAAAGUGUGGGUAGCAAACAGGAUUAGAUACCCUGGUAGUCCACGCCGUAAACGAUG